Molecule: transfer RNA, 68 nt
Filed under: Paradelma orientalis (Brigalow scaly-foot)
Lineage: Eukaryota; Metazoa; Chordata; Lepidosauria; Squamata; Pygopodidae
Description: tRNA-Ala
Source: RNAcentral
GAGGCCUUAGCUUAAUUAAAGUGUCUGGGUUGCAUUCAGAGGAUGUGCAGUAAAGUUGCGCAGGUCUU